Molecule: ribosomal RNA, 518 nt
Filed under: uncultured bacterium
Lineage: Bacteria
Description: bacterial SSU rRNA
Rfam family: Bacterial small subunit ribosomal RNA
Source: RNAcentral
CUGGUUCAGAACGAACGCUGGCGGCGUGCUUAACACAUGCAAGUCGAACGCGAAAGGGGACUUCGGUCCUGAGUAAAGUGGCGCACGGGUGAGUAACGCGUAGAUAACCUGUCUUCAUGUCUGGAAUAAUACGCCAAAGGGGUACUAAUACCGGAUAUCUUGCUUUUCAUAAGUUAUGCAAGCAAAGGUGGCCUCUGCAUAUGCUACUGCAUGAAGAGGGGUCUGCGUACCAUUAGCUAGUAGGUGGGGUAAUGGCCUACCUAGGCGACGAUGGUUAGCGGGUCUGAGAGGAUGAUCCGCCACACUGGCACUGGAACACGGGCCAGACUCCUACGGGAGGCAGCAGUGAGGAAUAUUGCGCAAUGGGGGAAACCCUGACGCAGCGACGCCGCGUGAGUGAGGAAGGCCUUCGGGUCGUAAAGCUCUGUCAAGAGGAAAGAAGUGUACAAUGGCUAAUACCUGUUGUAUUUGACGGUACCUCUAAAGGAAGCACCGGCUAACUCCGUGCCAGCCGCCGC